Molecule: long non-coding RNA, 682 nt
Organism: Salvelinus namaycush (lake trout)
Lineage: Eukaryota; Metazoa; Chordata; Actinopteri; Salmoniformes; Salmonidae
Exons: 3
Source: RefSeq, a predicted model, not a curated record
ACCGCGCGGCCCAUUGCCGCAACAGGACACGAUCCCAGUGGAGUUUACCAUCUCCUCAACAUUAUCUCUGACGAUGCAAGAGUAAAACAAAAAUGGCGUAAAACGGAGGAGACCGUGGUGCUUGCAAAAAAUUCCACGGGACCCGUACAACGACCGGCGGACGACACCCGGGACAUUAGCAUUUACUGAUGAUUUGUGGCGGCUCGGAUGUCUUUCAUCUCUCUCCAGCUUCUAGACAAGAGCUUCUCUGACAGUGCAACAUCUGAACAUGUACAUCAUUUGACAAAGAUGCAAACUAAUGGUGUGGGGGAACUGUCCUGUGGACCACAGGCCUCCCCAUGCCAGCAGACUGCCAGGUGUGGGGGAACUGUCCUGUGGACCACAGGCCUCCCAUGUGAGACAAGUCUGGAUUUAGGCCACCAUCACCCAACUGUCAAGCUCCACAGCUGUUGAAACCAGAGAUGGAUCAAAGUCUGUCAACAUCAAUGGAUCAAGAUAUCAACCUCUCUUCACUAAAGAGAGGACCGCUCCGGGGAUGUGUGGGUUACAGGAGAGACUGGCUACCACAGAUACAGCCCCAGGCCGGAUCUGUCUGUCUCCUCACCUAGCUGUCUGUCUCUCUCCUCACCUAGCUGUCUGUCUCUCUCCUCACCUAGCUGUCUCUCUCCUCACCUAGCUGUCU